UUUACUCCAAAUACCUGAGCAAAGGUGAAAGUGAAAGGUGUGUCUCAGUACAGGACUGAGGUGUAGAUUGUUCUGUAAAAACAUGUAGAUAUGCACAUAUAGUGACUAUUAGAGUGGUUAUGGAUUUAAAUAAACUAUUUUGAAAGUGAAGUGGAGGACGUGAAGACCAGUAAAGUUAAAAUGGCAGAGUCCAGAGUUCAUAAUCAGUUUAAACUCACCUCAGAAAACUAUGUGUGGGCCGAUGUUGGUAAAGAGGUCACCCUCCCCUGUCACCUCUCACCUGACACCAGUGCUGUUGCCACGACGAUCAGGUGGUUUAAAGAGAGAGAGUGUAUUUACCUGUAUAAGAAUGGCCAGGUGACAGAGAGGAGUGACUAUGAGGGCAGAGUGAGUCUGAUCACCCAGGAGCUGAAGAGAGGCAACGUGUCUCUGAGGCUGAGAGACUUCAGGGAGUCAGAUACAGGAGUCUACAUCUGUCAGGUCAUCCAUGGAGAACAGAAGGAGGAGGCUGCAGUGGGUUUAUUGGUCAGAAGAGCAUUGCGACAACUAUUUGAUGAGGCAUUUGUCUCAGGAUCACGGUAUUUACAACCUGAGACCCAGGAGGACAAGCUGAAGAGGGAGGCAUCAGCUGGUGAGCUUGAGUUGAAGAUGGAAAAAGAAUUAAAAGAGAUAUUAAGAGAGGAGAUGAUGAAACAACUAGAGGAGAAAGACACACAACUGGAUGAUAUGACCCAGGAAGUGAGAGAGAAAGACACACAACUGGAUGAUAUGACCCAGGAAGUGAGAGAGAAAGACACACAACUGGAUGAUAUGACCCAGGAAGUGAGAGAGAAAGAGAGACUCCUGGAGGAGAAGAACCAGAUAAUGGAACAGAGGGACAAACAAUUAGAAGAGAAAGAAAACCAACUGGAAGAGAAAGACAAGCAACUAAAGGAUAGAGACAUUCAACUAGAGGCUCUGAGAAAGAACCUGCAGGACAAGAACAGCAAAGUAGAGAACUUCAGAGUCCUACUGCAGGAAAAAGACCUUCAACUAGAGGACAGGAACCACAGACUGGGAGAGAAGGACAAACUACUGGAAGAGAGAGACAAACUACUGCAGGAAAAAGACCUUCAACUAGAGGACAGGAACCACAGACUGGGAGAGAAGGACAGACUACUGGAAGAGAGAGACAAACUACUGCAGGAAAAAGACCUUCAACUAGAGGACAGAAAUCACAGACUGGGAGAGAAGGACAGACUACUGGAAGAGAGAGACAAACUACUGGAAGAGAGAGACAAACGACUGGAAGAGAGAGACAAACUACUGGAGGGAAAAGAAAACAAACUAAAAGAGAGGAGACAGGAAGUAGAAGAGAGGAGACAGGAAGUAGAAGAGAAAGACAACCUACUAGAGGAGAGAGAGAACCAGCUAAAGGAAAGAGACAAACAGGUGGAGGAUGUCAACAAUGAAAAUGCUGAACUGGCUCAACAGAUAUGUGAUGUGAAGACUGAGGUAGAGAGACUGAGAAGAGAGAUCUCAGCCCAGAUGACUGAACAUGGAGAGCUGUCAGAAACAGGUUCCAUCCUCCCAGUCAGGAGGAGAGACAGCAAGGACCUUCCUCCAUCCAUGAGAGGAGAGACCUCAGAUACAGACCCCACACUUCCACUGAGGAGGAGACACAGCAUGGAGUUACCUCCUCCAUCUAUGGGAGGAGAGAGCAGCAGUCCAGACUCCCCACUGUCUCCCAGUGUGUCUGAGCUGAGACUGGUGCUGCUGGGGAGGACUGGGGCUGGGAGGGGUGCAGCAGGAAACACCAUCCUGGGCAGAGAGGAGUUUGGGGCCCAGGCCAGCCCCUCUGCAGUGACCCAGAGGAGUAAGAGGAGAGAGGGGGAUGUGUGUGGGAGACGGCUGGUGCUGGUGGACACUCCAGACUGGUUCUGUCCUGGACUCUCUCUGGAGGAGAUGAGACAGGAUGUGGGGCUCUGUGUCCGUCUGUCUGCCCCGGGACCCCAUGCCUUCCUCCUGGUCAUACCAGUGGAGCCCUCUAAGGGGGAGGAGAGAGGGGUGUUGGAGAGAAUAGAGGAGAUGUUUGGGGAGGGUUGUUGGGGACACACUGUGAUUCUAUUCACCCAUGAUGAUGGACUGAAAGAGCAGAGCAUUGAGGAGUUUCUCCAAGCAGGAAGUCAGGACCUCCAGCAGCUUGUAGAGAAAAGUGGGAGCAGGUACCACGUCCUCAAUAUUAAGGACAGGGCCCAUGGCACUCAGGUAUCAGAGCUGCUGGUUCAGGUAGAGGAGAUGGUGGCAGGAAACAGAGAGAGAUUCUACAGCAGUCAGACCUACCAGGAGGCAGAGGACCAGGUUAGAGAGAUGGAGGGAAACAUCCAGAGAGAGAGAGGAGAGACGAAACAGAGGGAGGAGAGAGACUUGAGAGAGAGGCUUGAGAAGGAGUUGCAGGACUCUCUGAUAAAGAUAGAGGGAGUGAUCCAGGAACAUGAGGGAGAUAUCAGAACACUCAGUGAAAGAACCAGUGAACUGGAGAGACAGGUGAAAGAAGAGAGGGAUGAGGAGAAGAAAAGAGAGCUGGAGAGGGAGCUGAAGAGGGAGUCUGUCAGGAGGGAGGAGAUGGAGAGAAAGCUGGAGAGAUUUAGAGAGAAGAGAGAGAAUGAGAGGAGGGAGAUGGAGGAGAGACACAGACAGGUGAUGGAGAACUAUGAAGGAGAAGCCAGAGUUGAAGCAGAGAGAAACCUGAUGAAGAUAGUCCUGCCUGAGUUACAGAGGAACAUCAUGAUCUCACAGACAAAGAUACAGAGGGAGUUCAGCAGACAGAUGAAGGAGAAGGAUAGAGAGAUGGAGGGGGAGUUCAGCAGACAGAUGGAGGAGAAGAAUAGACAGAUGAAGGAGAAGGAUAGACAGAUGGAGGAGAAGGAUAGAGUGAUUGUGGAAAGGGAUGGAGAGAUAGAGGGACUGAUAGAAAGACUGUGGGAAAUGUGUAAAUGAGUUAUUGUAACUAGCCUGAAGAAGUGCUGGGAUACAUGGAGAUGUAGAAGAAGAGAGAGGAAGAAGACAGGGAGAACUGAUGAAGAUCUGAGGAAUGUUUGGGCAGAUGUAACCUAGUUCACCAUUUCACUGAAUUGGCCUGACAACGAGGUUAGAGACGAGAUGACUUUUUCAUGGAGGGAUUGGAGAAGCUAGAGAUAAUAACAUGAUAUUUAUCUGACAAUGUAAGAACAACCUGAUAGUCUGUCCUGUGAUGAGUGUCAUGGUGGGAGAACAGGUCAGAAUACUGAUCCUGUCUAGGUCAACCUGAUAGUCUGUCCUGUGAUGAGUGUCAUGGUGGGAGAACAGGUCAGAAUACUGAUCCUGUCUAGGUCAACCUGAUAGUCUGUCCUGUGAUGAGUGUCAUGGUGGGAGAACAGGUCAGAAUACUGAUCCUGUCUAGGUCAACCUGAUAGUCUGUCCUGUGAUGAGUGUCAUGGUGGGAGAACAGGUCAGAAUACUGAUCCUGUCUAGGUCAACCUGAUAGUCUGUCCUGUGAUGAGUGUCAUGGUGGGAGAACAGGUCAGAAUACUGAUCCUGUCUAGGUCAACCUGAUAGUCUGUCCUGUGAUGAGUGUCAUGGUGGGAGAACAGGUCAGAAUACUGAUCCUGUCUAGGUCAACCUGAUAGUCUGUCCUGUGAUGAGUGUCAUGGUGGGAGAACAGGUCAGAAUACUGAUCCUGUCUAGGUCAACCUGAUAGUCUGUCCUGUGAUGAGUGUCAUGGUGGGAGAACAGGUCAGAAUACUGAUCCUGUCUAGGUCAACCUGAUAGUCUGUCCUGUGAUGAGUGUCAUGGUGGGAGAACAGGUCAGAAUACUGAUCCUGUCUAGGUCAACCUGAUAGUCUGUCCUGUGAUGAGUGUCAUGGUGGGAGAACAGGUCAGAAUACUGAUCCUGUCUAGGUCAACCUGAUAGUCUGUCCUGUGAUGAGUGUCAUGGUGGGAGAACAGGUCAGAAUACUGAUCCUGUCUAGGUCAACCUGAUAGUCUGUCCUGUGAUGAGUGUCAUGGUGGGAGAACAGGUCAGAAUACUGAUCCUGUCUAGGUCAACCUGAUAGUCUGUCCUGUGAUGAGUGUCAUGGUGGGAGAACAGGUCAGAAUACUGAUCCUGUCUAGGUCAACCUGAUAGUCUGUCCUGUGAUGAGUGUCAUGGUGGGAGAACAGGUCAGAAUACUGAUCCUGUCUAGGUCAAAAUCUGUACUUCUGCCCCUGAGCAAGGCAGUUAACCGAAUGAUCUCUGGGCGCUGAAGACGCGGAUGUCGAUUAUGCCCCCCCCCACCUCUGAUUCAGAGGGGUUGGGUUAAAUGCAUAAGACACAUUUCAGUUGAAUAAAUUCAGUUGGAAACCCCCUUUUACAGUGUCUAGAGAGAGAGGGAGGGAGGUCUGUAAAGAUAUUGAUGAGAUUUAACACAGAAUUCCAAACCAACGUAGAUUA
RNA transcript from Oncorhynchus gorbuscha (pink salmon), 4450 nucleotides. It is a transcript of the gene named trichohyalin-like, with no coding region annotated. NCBI's taxonomy places the organism in Eukaryota, Metazoa, Chordata, Actinopteri, Salmoniformes, Salmonidae. The transcript has 15 exons. The record is from RefSeq and is a predicted model, not a curated record.